Molecule: non-coding RNA, 83 nt
Filed under: Salix viminalis (osier)
Lineage: Eukaryota; Viridiplantae; Streptophyta; Magnoliopsida; Malpighiales; Salicaceae
Source: RNAcentral
GAAAGCCGUGUGCAAUGAAAAAUGCAAGCACGGUUUGGGAGGGUUUUAAAACUUUUUUUUAACAAAGAAAUUCUCUACUCCAU